UGAUCUGAAUUGUUCUAAGUUGGGGCCUUAGUGCUUCAUACCUGAACAUCCAAGGUCAUUUCCAUCCUUGCUUGGACCCUUUUGUUCUAAGCUUAAUUCGGCUAAUGCCGAUAUCCUUGGCAUCAUUCCAUGAAUGGCCACGACCUUAGCACACGGGUGUAGGCGUACACCCGUAGUACAUUUUAUUGUGUAUAAUCGUCAGCACGGGAGGAGUCUCGCGGCGAAUUAUAUUAAGUGGUGUGUCUAUUGAGCUUUAACCCGGCACGACCCGGGCCACUGAACGCAUAACGA
This 291-nucleotide long non-coding RNA is filed under the name Helianthus annuus (common sunflower). Its description in RNAcentral is "sRNA HanXRQr2_Chr09g0387601". Lineage: Eukaryota; Viridiplantae; Streptophyta; Magnoliopsida; Asterales; Asteraceae. The record is from RNAcentral.